GCGCGUGGCUUAGUGGUUAGGGCAUUCGCCUCAUGAUCGUAAGAUCGUGAGUUCAAUUCCCGCCGACGCG
This is a non-coding RNA of Octopus bimaculoides (California two-spot octopus), 70 nucleotides long. NCBI's taxonomy places the organism in Eukaryota, Metazoa, Mollusca, Cephalopoda, Octopoda, Octopodidae. The record is from Rfam.